AACGAACGCUGGCGGCAUGCCUAACACAUGCAAGUCGAACGAUGCCUUCGGGCAUAGUGGCGCACGGGUGCGUAACGCGUGGGAAUCUGCCCUUGGCUUCGGAAUAACAGUUAGAAAUGACUGCUAAUACCGGAUGAUGUCCCCCUGAGAGAUCUUGGGGACCAAAGAUUUAUCGGCCAGGGAUGAGCCCGCGUAGGAUUAGGUAGUUGGUGGGGUAAAGGCCUACCAAGCCGACGAUCCUUAGCUGGUCUGAGAGGAUGAUCAGCCACACUGGGACUGAGACACGGACCAGACUCCUACGGGAGGCAGCAGUGGGGAAUAUUGGACAAUGGGGGGAAACCUGAUCCAGCAAUGCCGCGUGAGUGAUGAAGGCCUUAGGGUUGUAAAGCUCUUUUACCAGGGAUGAUAAUGACAGUACCUGGAGAAUAAGCUCCGGCUAACUCCGUG
RNAcentral lists this ribosomal RNA (447 nucleotides) under uncultured bacterium. Its description in RNAcentral is "partial 16S ribosomal RNA". It matches the Rfam family "Bacterial small subunit ribosomal RNA", at positions 29 to 507 of the family's 1533-position model. The record is from RNAcentral.